GACGAACGCUGGCGGUGUGCUUCACACAUGCAAGUCGAACGAGGUAGCAAUACCUAGUGGCGGACGGGUGAGUAACGCGUGGGAAUCUGCCUUUAGAUGGGGGAUAACGGGUCGAAAGACUCGCUAAUACCGCAUAUGACGAAAGUUGAAAGGAGUAAUCCGUCUAAAGAUGAGCCCGCGUCCGAUUAGCUAGUUGGUAGAGUAAAAGCCUACCAAGGCGACGAUCGGUAGCUGGGUCUGAGAGGAUGAUCAGCCACAAUGGGACUAGAGACACGGCCCAUAC
This 283-nucleotide ribosomal RNA is filed under the name uncultured bacterium. Its description in RNAcentral is "partial 16S ribosomal RNA". It matches the Rfam family "Bacterial small subunit ribosomal RNA", at positions 28 to 336 of the family's 1533-position model. The record is from RNAcentral.